Molecule: unclassified non-coding RNA, 351 nt
Filed under: soil metagenome
Description: partial contains 5.8S ribosomal RNA, internal transcribed spacer 2, and large subunit ribosomal RNA
Rfam family: 5.8S ribosomal RNA (bases 1-120)
Source: RNAcentral
GAUGAAGAACGCAGCGAAAUGCGAUAAGUAAUGUGAAUUGCAGAAUUCAGUGAAUCAUCGAAUCUUUGAACGCACAUUGCGCCCGCCAGUAUUCUGGCGGGCAUGCCUGUUCGAGCGUCAUUACAACCCUCAGGCCCCCGGGCCUGGCGUUGGGGAUCGGCGGAGCCCCCCGUGGGCACACGCCGUCCCCCAAAUACAGUGGCGGUCCCGCCGCAGCUUCCAUCGCGUAGUAGCUAACACCUCGCGACUGGAGAGCGGCGCGGCCACGCCGUAAAACACCCAACUCUUCUGAAGUUGACCUCGAAUCAGGUAGGAAUACCCGCUGAACUUAAGCAUAUCAAUAACGGAGGA